This 546-nucleotide ribosomal RNA is filed under the name Triticum aestivum (bread wheat). RNAcentral describes it as "partial small subunit ribosomal RNA". The record is from RNAcentral. Lineage: Eukaryota; Viridiplantae; Streptophyta; Magnoliopsida; Poales; Poaceae.
AUGGCCCAUCAAUUCCCCUCCUACCCUCCCUCACCAACCAUUACAACCCAACCUCACAAAAUAAACAAUCAAGAGAGAGAGAGAGAGAGAGAGAGAGAGAGAGAGAGAGGGGGGCACGCAUCAAUGGUGACACGAAGGCCCUACAUGAUUGAUACAGAACCUGAUGCCUUCAUAGAGGCCCUACCAGCUAUGACAACAUCAACCAUCCAUUCUUCUUCUUCCUUAGAAGCACUGGUACAAGUCUAUGGGCUGGCUCCAUGUGCUGCCGGCGCCAAAAAUGUCAUAGGCACUGCUUGUUGUGGCGCCCAUGGCGGCGACGGGGUUCGCUGUGCUAGUGAUAGAGUUCAUGCAGCAGAUGAUCUCGCCCAGGGCGCACAGCCUGCUCUCCAGCUCCAUCUUCUGUGUCUGCAUCACCGAGUUCUGUGCUUGCAGCGCCACAAGGUUUUGGGUGGUCAUGCCCAGCACCAUGUUCAUUUGUUGGCUCUGGUUCUUGAGCUGAUCCACCUGUUUUUGUCACAAAAAUAUAUUCUUCUUAGCAAUAUGUAG